This 440-nucleotide ribosomal RNA is filed under the name uncultured Herminiimonas sp. Its description in RNAcentral is "bacterial SSU rRNA". It matches the Rfam family "Bacterial small subunit ribosomal RNA", at positions 358 to 790 of the family's 1533-position model. The record is from RNAcentral. Lineage: Bacteria; Pseudomonadati; Pseudomonadota; Betaproteobacteria; Burkholderiales; Oxalobacteraceae.
GGAAUUUUGGACAAUGGGCGCAAGCCUGAUCCAGCAAUGCCGCGUGAGUGAAGAAGGCCUUCGGGUUGUAAAGCUCUUUUGUCAGGGAAGAAACGGUGGACUCUAAUACAGAUCACUAAUGACGGUACCUGAAGAAUAAGCACCGGCUAACUACGUGCCAGCAGCCGCGGUAAUACGUAGGGUGCAAGCGUUAAUCGGAAUUACUGGGCGUAAAGCGUGCGCAGGCGGUUUGGUAAGACAGAUGUGAAAUCCCCGGGCUCAACCUGGGAAUUGCAUUUGUGACUGCCCGGCUAGAGUGUGUCAGAGGGGGGUAGAAUUCCACGUGUAGCAGUGAAAUGCGUAGAGAUGUGGAGGAAUACCGAUGGCGAAGGCAGCCCCCUGGGAUAACACUGACGCUCAUGCACGAAAGCGUGGGGAGCAAACAGGAUUAGAUACCCUUG